Molecule: ribosomal RNA, 465 nt
Filed under: uncultured bacterium
Lineage: Bacteria
Description: partial 16S ribosomal RNA
Rfam family: Bacterial small subunit ribosomal RNA
Source: RNAcentral
CCUACGGGAGGCAGCAGUGGGGAAUAUUGCGCCAUGGGCGAAAGCCUGACGCAGCGACGCCGCGUGAGGGAUGAAGGUCUUCGGAUCGUAAACCUCUGUCAGCAGGGAAGAACGGUCACUGUGCUAAUCAGCAGUGAAUUGACGGUACCUGCACAGGAAGCACCGGCUAACUCCGUGCCAGCAGCCGCGGUAAUACGGAGGGGGCGAGCGUUAAUCGGAAUUACUGGGCGUAAAGCGCGCGUAGGCGGUAUGUCAAGUCAAGGGUGAAAUCCCCGCGCUCAACGUGGGAACUGCCUUUGAAACGGGCAAACUGGAGUGUGUGAGAGGAUAGUGGAAUUCCAGGUGUAGGAGUGAAAUGCGUAGAUAUCUGGAGGAACAUCAGUGGCGAAGGCGACUAUCUGGCACAUAACUGACGCUGAGGAGCGAAAGCGUGGGUAGCAAACAGGAUUAGAUACCCCAGUAGUC